This 164-nucleotide ribosomal RNA is filed under the name uncultured bacterium. RNAcentral describes it as "partial 16S rRNA". It matches the Rfam family "Bacterial small subunit ribosomal RNA", at positions 355 to 511 of the family's 1533-position model. The record is from RNAcentral.
UAGGGAAUCUUCCACAAUGGGUGCAAGCCUGAUGGAGCAACACCGCGUGAGUGAAGAAGGGUUUCGGCUCGUAAAGCUCUGUUGUUAAAGAAGAACACGUAUGAGAGUAACUGUUCAUACGUUGACGGUAUUUAACCAGAAAGUCACGGCUAACUACGUGUCAG